UACGGGGGGGGCAAGCGUUGUUCGGAAUUACUGGGCGUAAGGGGCUCGUAGGCGGCCAACUAAGUCGGACGUGAAAUCCCCAGGCUCAACCUGGGAACUGCGUCCGAUACUGGAUGGCUUGAAUCCGGGAGAGGGAUGCAGAAUUCCAGGUGUAGCGGUGAAAUUCGUAGAUAUCGAGAGGAACACCGGUGGCGAAGGCGGCCUUCUGGACAGUGACUGACGCUGAGACGCGAAAGCGUGGGGAGCAAACAGG
RNAcentral lists this ribosomal RNA (253 nucleotides) under uncultured bacterium. Its description in RNAcentral is "partial 16S ribosomal RNA". It matches the Rfam family "Bacterial small subunit ribosomal RNA", at positions 524 to 776 of the family's 1533-position model. The record is from RNAcentral.